GAUGAACGCUGGCGGCGUGCUUAACACAUGCAAGUCGAACGAAGUGGCGAACGGGUGAGUAACGCGUAAUCAACCUGCCCUUCAGAGGGGGACAACAGUUGGAAACGACUGCUAAUACCGCAUACUGAAGGACGGGAUUGCGUCUGAUUAGCUAGUUGGGGGGGUAACGGCCCACCAAGGCGAUGAUCAGUAGGCGGUCUGAGAGGAAGAACGGCCACAAUGGGACUGAGACACGGCCCAGACGCCUACGGGAGGCAGCAGUGGGGAAACUUACGACAUGGGCGAAAGUCUGACGGAGCAACGCCGCGGGAGUGAUGACGGCCUUCGGGUUGUAAAGGUCUGUUAAUCGGGGCGCGGUACCGGAAUAGAAAGCCACGGCUAACUACGUGCCAGCAGCCGCGGUAAUAC
RNAcentral lists this ribosomal RNA (408 nucleotides) under uncultured bacterium. RNAcentral describes it as "partial 16S ribosomal RNA". It matches the Rfam family "Bacterial small subunit ribosomal RNA", at positions 28 to 526 of the family's 1533-position model. The record is from RNAcentral.